Molecule: long non-coding RNA, 323 nt
Filed under: Spirodela polyrhiza (greater duckweed)
Lineage: Eukaryota; Viridiplantae; Streptophyta; Magnoliopsida; Alismatales; Araceae
Description: long non-coding RNA (SPOL_LNC001705)
Source: RNAcentral
CCUCCCUGUGUUGCCAUUUCUGCUGCAUUCUUGGGUCUCUGGCCCAUUCCCUCUGGUGAAGCUUGUUCUUGGGGCCAAGCAAGCCUUCUCCCUCUCCUUCUCUCUCUCUCUUCCUUCUCUCCCUCAAUGUGACUGUUUCAUCUUCUCCGCUGCAACUUCUGGUCAGGGUCUUGGGGUUUAUCUGCUUUCGGUGAGCUAGAUGGGGGCGUCGAUGUGCUGUGGCCGGAUUCAAUCCAUCCAAUGACGAGGAGAUUAUCAUCAUCCUCUGACCCCGAGCUUGCAGGAAAUUUCAUGAAUCUUCCCUGGUGAUCAGGAAAAUCCAC